Long non-coding RNA from Amphiprion ocellaris (clown anemonefish), 1317 nucleotides. RefSeq lists it as uncharacterized. Lineage: Eukaryota; Metazoa; Chordata; Actinopteri; Pomacentridae. The record is from RefSeq and is a predicted model, not a curated record. The transcript is spliced from 2 exons.
UAGAGCCUAAAUGUGGAAAGGACAUUAGAACAAUAGAGUACCGUUACUUUACGCUCCAAGUUACUUUUCCAUGAUGUGGACGCAGCUAGAGGCAGCGACCACAAAGUAACAGCUAAGACAAGAUUAAACAUGCCUCUCUAAAACACGUGAGCUGCCACCACCUGCAAUUAUGACCGAGCUUUGAAGUUUAUUUUAAUUAGAAAACAAGGAAAAGCAAGAAUAAACGGACUCACUCAUCACAGUCGACUCCAGCCAUAACCUCCAGUGAAAGGACGGAGUUGCCAAUAUCAACAAAGCUCAGGAGGGCUGUGCGUCCUGUGCGCUCUCGGCUGCGCGCUCUCCAACUCCGCCCCCUUUGCCGCACGGAGAGGAACAUCCGGAGGGAGUAAUUAAAUUCUGAUUAGAAGAAUGUUUGCUGACUAAUGCUCUUUAAAACCACAAAUUUCAUUAGGUUCUGUUUUGAUUACUGUGGCGUCAAUGUGGGGAAAAAUGGAAAGUUUCAGGGAUGAUCAAUAAAGUGAUCUCUUAGGAAUUUCCUUGUAUUGAUUAGGUGAACAGGUGCCACAGUUCAUGUUGUUGACUUAGAAGAACAGAAUGUUCCGUCCUCUAAUUCAUUAAUCAAAACAGCUCCUCCUCCUUUUUCUUUGAAUUAAGACACAAAUGAUGAGUCAUUUCACUACUAUCUGUCGUCAUUUGAUUAGCCUGAAUGAAAGAGAUAUGAAGCGCGGGGGGUUGAAUGGUCUGGUUUCACCUGCAGGGGGGGCUGCACUGCAUAGAGCUGCUGCUACUGCUGCUGCUGAAACAGGACACCAUUAUCAGCCAAGGCCACAUUGGGCCCCACCUGUCCCUGCAGCGCACAUGAGAGCUUUUAUCAGCAAACAUGCACAUGAUUCCCCGGAGCUGUAUCAUCCCCUCAGGCCGGAACACACAGCACAUGAUGUGACUGAAACAUCCAGAGUGCAGCCGCAAAGCCCAUCAUAACAUCUCCAUCACUGGGCUCUGAUUCGGCACAUCUGCACACUUCUCAUUCAAGAAGACAUUUUUUUUAGAGAAAAAAAAGGGAAAAAAGAGAAAGAAGAUGUAAGAAAUUUCUAAUUUAUUUUUCCUACGGGAUAUGAAAAAAAGAGGUUGGAUAUAGACAGAGUGACAGAUAACAGGAGCGUCACAGUAGCUACUGCACAAUAAUAUGAAGACAGCAAACUGUACAUGGAGUCCACUAUUAUUACACUCAGCUGAUGGGAGCAGGACUGGCCUGAGUCUCUGUGGUGUUCCGCUUCUGGAAGUAUUACUUCUCAAAAUAAAAAUAAGUCCCUCUGG